Molecule: long non-coding RNA, 502 nt
Filed under: Malus domestica (apple)
Lineage: Eukaryota; Viridiplantae; Streptophyta; Magnoliopsida; Rosales; Rosaceae
Description: long non-coding RNA (MDOM_LNC012642)
Source: RNAcentral
UUCCUAAAUCUCAUUCAUACUCUGGCCAGAGAUUCUAAUCAUAUCAUAGAGUAUUCUCCCUCAAACGGUUUGAAGGUUAGAGAUCCCUUGUUGCGCAUUCACUUGCCUCCAUGGCUAAGUGGCUUAACCCCAACGAUGCCGUGGACACUCCAAUGGAAUAACGUUUGACAUAAUCAAAGAUCAAGGACUUAACCACAAGACAACGAUGAUGCCUCAGGUCAAAGGACUACUUUGCAUUAUCCCAACCAUGAGUUCUCAUGUGACAUGAAUAUGAGAACUCUUCGUUAAUCGUGUUCAGUGAACUCAUUCUCUAUUGAGCACCUACGUACUUGACUUGAUGUCACACACACCAAUGACUCGAGACUAGUCACUCUCCCUGAGAGAAGACACAGUACGUACCGAUCUUAACGGACUGUCAAUGCCCAAUUGACAAUCCUAUGAUCAUGAACAUUUAGGAUGUGUCUACGAAAGAAUGGUCUCAUGAAUCUAACUUCAUUAGAUU